RNAcentral lists this ribosomal RNA (253 nucleotides) under uncultured bacterium. RNAcentral describes it as "partial 16S ribosomal RNA". It matches the Rfam family "Bacterial small subunit ribosomal RNA", at positions 524 to 776 of the family's 1533-position model. The record is from RNAcentral.
UACGGAGGGUGCAAGCGUUAAUCGGAAUUACUGGGCGUAAAGCGCGCGUAGGCGGCUGAUUAAGUCGGAUGUGAAAGCCCCGGGCUCAACCUGGGAACUGCAUUCGAUACUGUUCGGCUAGAGUAUGAGAGAGGGAGGUAGAAUUCCACGUGUAGCGGUGAAAUGCGUAGAUAUGUGGAGGAAUACCAGUGGCGAAGGCGACUGCCUGGACGGCACCUGACGCUGAGGCGCGAAAGCUAGGGGAGCAAACGGG